Molecule: long non-coding RNA, 371 nt
Filed under: Homo sapiens (human)
Lineage: Eukaryota; Metazoa; Chordata; Mammalia; Primates; Hominidae
Description: HSALNT0336830
Source: RNAcentral
UCUGCCUUCUUUGUGGAAAUCUCACAUAAAGGCUCUGGCCUUUGCCUUCUCCUUGCUCCUGUCAUCUGCCUCUUGACCAUCCUCACAUUUCCUUUGUGGCCCUGUUCCCUUCUCUCAGGUGUGGCAUGAUCCCUUCUCUCAGGAAAUGUGGCAUGCAAUAGUGAAGCUGUGAAGACUGGUGGAACCACAAAUAGAAGGGUCCUAAGUCCCAGAAUUACCAUGGAAGAAAGUCUCCUGCAAAUUGGACAGAUAUACCAAGGGGAUGAACUCUUCCAUCAUCUCAUAAAAAUAUCAGGCCGUGAAGCAACAUAAAGAGAGAAAACAUGCAAGGCAAUGUGUCUCCCGUCUCUGAUUUAUUCAUCUCAAUUGGA